This 498-nucleotide ribosomal RNA is filed under the name uncultured bacterium. RNAcentral describes it as "partial 16S ribosomal RNA". It matches the Rfam family "Bacterial small subunit ribosomal RNA", at positions 28 to 523 of the family's 1533-position model. The record is from RNAcentral.
GAUGAACGCUAGCGGCAGGCCUAAUACAUGCAAGUCGGACGGGAUUUGGGAGCUUGCUCCUAAUGAGAGUGGCGCACGGGUGCGUAACACGUAUGUAACCUACCUUAAUCAGGGGGAUAGCCUCUCGAAGGAGAGAUUAACACCGCAUAAUAUAUUUUUAUGGCAUCGUAGAAAUGUCAAAUCUUUAUAGGAUUAAGAUGGGCAUGCGGAACAUUAGCUAGUUGGUAAGGUAACGGCUUACCAAGGCUACGAUGUUUAGGGGAUCUGAGAGGAUGACCCCCCACACUGGUACUGAGACACGGACCAGACUCCUACGGGAGGCAGCAGUAAGGAAUAUUGGUCAAUGGGCGCAAGCCUGAACCAGCCAUGCCGCGUGCAGGAAGACGGCCCUAUGGGUUGUAAACUGCUUUUGUACCGGAAUAAACCCUUUUACGUGUAAGAGGCUGAAUGUACGGUAAGAAUAAGGAUCGGCUAACUCCGUGCCAGCCGCCGCAGUAA